UUAAGUUCAGCGGGUAUCCCUACCUGAUUCGAGGAGUUCCGUCACUACGCAAUCCCCCGCCCGUCGGACGGGCCAGGGCCGGGAGCCUCGCCGCGAGCCGGCGCCAAUGCGAAAUAUCACGCUCGGCAACGCUGCAGGCGUCCCGCCCAUGCAUUCCAGCCCGGUGGCAGCCCGCUCGGGCACGCCACCGCCGCCACGAC
This 200-nucleotide unclassified non-coding RNA is filed under the name Helvella sp. RNAcentral's name for it is "partial internal transcribed spacer 2". The record is from RNAcentral. Lineage: Eukaryota; Fungi; Ascomycota; Pezizomycetes; Pezizales; Helvellaceae.